CCCGGGAGGCAGCAGUGGGGAAUAUUGCACAAUGGGCGACAGCCUGAUGCAGCAACGCCGCGUGAGUGAUGAAGGCCUUCGGGUCGUACAACUCUGUCCUCAAGGAAGAUAAUGACGGUACUUGAGGAGGAAGCCCCGGCUAACUACGUGCCAGCAGCCGCGGUAAUACGUAGGGGGCUAGCGUUAUCCGGAUUUACUGGGCUUAAAGGGUGCGUAGGUGGUUUCUUAAGUCAGGAGUGAAAGGCUACGGCUUAACCGUAGUAAGCUCUUGAAACUGGGAAACUUGAGUGCAGGAGAGGAAAGUGGAAUUCCGAGUGUAGCGGUGAAAUGCGUAGAUAUUAGGAGGAACACCAGUAGCGAAGGCGGCUUUCUGGACUGUAACUGACACUGAGGCACGAAAGCGUGGGGAGCAAACA
RNAcentral lists this ribosomal RNA (416 nucleotides) under uncultured prokaryote. RNAcentral describes it as "bacterial SSU rRNA". It matches the Rfam family "Bacterial small subunit ribosomal RNA", at positions 340 to 774 of the family's 1533-position model. The record is from RNAcentral.